This 164-nucleotide ribosomal RNA is filed under the name Poljakovia alashanensis. RNAcentral's name for it is "Hippolytia alashanensis 5.8S ribosomal RNA". It matches the Rfam family "5.8S ribosomal RNA". Rfam says of the family: 5.8S ribosomal RNA (5.8S rRNA) is a component of the large subunit of the eukaryotic ribosome. It is transcribed by RNA polymerase I as part of the 45S precursor that also contains 18S and 28S rRNA. The record is from RNAcentral. Lineage: Eukaryota; Viridiplantae; Streptophyta; Magnoliopsida; Asterales; Asteraceae.
CAAACGACUCUCGGCAACGGAUAUCUCGGCUCACGCAUCGAUGAAGAACGUAGCAAAAUGCGAUACUUGGUGUGAAUUGCAGAAUCCCGUGAACCAUCGAGUUUUUGAACGCAAGUUGCGCCCAAAGCCUUUUGGCCGAGGGCACGUCUGCCUGGGCGUCACGC